Molecule: small RNA, 29 nt
Filed under: Bombyx mori (domestic silkworm)
Lineage: Eukaryota; Metazoa; Arthropoda; Insecta; Lepidoptera; Bombycidae
Description: ovarian small RNA-28232
Source: RNAcentral
UCGAAGUGGUAUCCGGAAGGCGACCCCUU